GACUCGUCACACUAUCAUUAACUGAAUCCAUAGGUUAAUGAGGCGAACCGGGGGAACUGAAACAUCUAAGUACCCCGAGGAAAAGAAAUCAACCGAGAUUCCCCCAGUAGCGGCGAGCGAACGGGGAGGAGCCCAGAGCCUGAAUCAGCAUGUGUGUUAGUGGAAGCGUCUGGAAAGGCGCGCGAUACAGGGUGACAGCCCCGUACACAAAAGCGCAUGUGCUGUGAGCUCGAUGAGUAGGGCGGGACACGUGGUAUCCUGUCUGAAUAUGGGGGGACCAUCCUCCAAGGCUAAAUACUCCUGACUGACCGAUAGUGAACCAGUACCGUGAGGGAAAGGCGAAAAGAACCCCGGCGAGGGGAGUGAAAAAGAACCUGAAACCGUGUACGUACAAGCAGUGGGAGCACCCUUUGGGGUGUGACUGCGUACCUUUUGUAUAAUGGGUCAGCGACUUAUAUUCUGUAGCAAGGUUAACCGUAUAGGGGAGCCGUAGGGAAACCGAGUCUUAACCGGGCGUUAAGUUGCAGGGUAUAGACCCGAAACCCGGUGAUCUAGCCAUGGGCAGGUUGAAGGUUGGGUAACACUAACUGGAGGACCGAACCGACUAAUGUUGAAAAAUUAGCGGAUGACCUGUGGCUGGGGGUGAAAGGCCAAUCAAACCGGGAGAUAGCUGGUUCUCCCCGAAAGCUAUUUAGGUAGCGCCUCGUGAAUUCAUCUCCGGGGGUAGAGCACUGUUUCGGCUAGGGGGCCAUCCCGGCUUACCAACCCGAUGCAAACUGCGAAUACCGGAGAAUGUUAUCACGGGAGACACACGGCGGGUGCUAACGUCCGUCGUGAAGAGGGAAACAACCCAGACCGCCAGCUAAGGUCCCAAAGUCAUGGUUAAGUGGGAAACGAUGUGGGAAGGCCCAGACAGCCAGGAUGUUGGCUUAGAAGCAGCCAUCAUUUAAAGAAAGCGUAAUAGCUCACUGGUCGAGUCGGCCUGCGCGGAAGAUGUAACGGGGCUAAACCAUGCACCGAAGCUGCGGCAGCGACACUGUGUGUUGUUGGGUAGGGGAGCGUUCUGUAAGCCUGUGAAGGUGUGUCGUGAGGC
Molecule: ribosomal RNA, 1093 nt
Filed under: Salmonella enterica subsp. enterica
Lineage: Bacteria; Pseudomonadati; Pseudomonadota; Gammaproteobacteria; Enterobacterales; Enterobacteriaceae
Description: partial 23S ribosomal RNA
Rfam family: Bacterial large subunit ribosomal RNA
Source: RNAcentral